AUACGGAGGGUGCAAGCGUUACUCGGAAUCACUGGGCGUAAAGCGCGCGCAGGCGGUCUUUUAAGUUGGAUGUGAAAGCCUACGGCUCAACCGUAGAACUGCAUCCAAAACUAUUAGACUAGAGUGUGCGAGAGGAAGAUGGAAUUAGUUGUGUAGGGGUAAAAUCCGUAGAGAUAACUAGGAAUACCAAAAGCGAAGGCAAUCUUCUGGAACACUACUGACGCUGAGGCGCGAAAGCGUGGGGAGCAAACAGCAUUAGAUACCCUAGUAGUCC
RNAcentral lists this ribosomal RNA (274 nucleotides) under uncultured bacterium. Its description in RNAcentral is "partial 16S ribosomal RNA". It matches the Rfam family "Bacterial small subunit ribosomal RNA", at positions 523 to 796 of the family's 1533-position model. The record is from RNAcentral.